Molecule: microRNA precursor, 119 nt
Filed under: Chlorocebus sabaeus (green monkey)
Lineage: Eukaryota; Metazoa; Chordata; Mammalia; Primates; Cercopithecidae
Description: miRNA (ENSCSAG00000026501.1)
Source: RNAcentral
GGUUUGCUGUUGCACCAUCAUUCCUCUGGGGAGCAGGCCCUGGGGGACAGGGAAAAGCACACCAGGAGCUUGUCCUCUAGGGCCUGCAGUCUGGCGGGAGUGUGACGUGCACCGGGACC